CUGAGCCAGUAUACGACCGUACCGCAAACCGACACUGGUGCGCGAGAUGAGUAUUCUAAGGCGCUUGAGAGAACUCAGGAGAAGGAACUCGGCAAAUUGACACCGUAACUUCGGAAGAGGGUGUGCCCUAUUAGUGUGUAGUGAACAACGAAGCAUGAAUGGGUUGCAAAAAAUCGGUGGCUGCGACUGUUUAUUAAAAACACAGCACUCUGCAAACACGAAAGUGGACGUAUAGGGUGUGACGCCUGCCCGGUGCUGGAAGAUUAAAUGAUGGGGUGCAAGCUCUUGAUUGAAGUCCCAGUAAACGGCGGCCGUAACCAUAACGGUCCUAAGGUAGCGAAAUUCCUUGUCGGGUAAGUUCCGACCUGCACGAAUGGCGUAACGAUGGCCACACUGUCUCCUCCUGAGACUCAGCGAAGUUGAAAUGUUUGUGAUGAUGCAAUCUCCCCGCGGAAAGACGGAAAGACCCCAUGAACCUUUACUGUAGCUUUGUAUUGGACUUUGAACAGAUCUGUGUAGGAUAGGUGGGAGGCUUUGAAGCAGGGUCGCUAGAUCUUGUGGAGCCAACGUUGAAAUACCACCCUGGUGUGUUUGAGGUUCUAACCUAGGUCCAUUAUCUGGAUCGGGGACAGUGCAUGGUAGGCAGUUUGACUGGGGCGGUCUCCUCCCAAAGCGUAACGGAGGAGUUCGAAGGUACGCUAGUUACGGUCGGACAUCGUGACGAUAGUGCAAUGGCAUAAGCGUGCUUAACUGCGAGACUGACAAGUCGAGCAGAUGCGAAAGCAGUACAUAGUGAUCCGGUGGUUCUGUAUGGAAGGGCCAUCGCUCAAUGGAUAAAAGGUACUCUGGGGAUAACAGGCUGAUACCGCCCAAGAGUUCAUAUCGACGGCGGUGUUUGGCACCUCGAUGUCGGCUCAUCUCAUCCUGGGGCUGUAGCCGGUCCCAAGGGUAUGGCUGUUCGCCAUUUAAAGAGGUACGUGAGCUGGGUUUAAAACGUCGUGAGACAGUUUGGUCCCUAUCUUCCGUGGGCGCUGCAGAUUUGAGGAAGCCUGCUCCUAGUACGAGAGGACCGGAGUGGACACACCUCUGGUGUAUCGGUUGUCACGCCAGUGGCAUUGCCGAGUAGCUAAGUGUGGAAGAGAUAACCGCUGAAAGCAUCUAAGCGGGAAACUCGUUUCAAGAUGAGAUCUGCCGGGGCCUUGAGCCCCCUAAAGAGUCGUUCAAGACCAGGACGUUGAUAGGUCAGGUGUGGAAGC
RNAcentral lists this ribosomal RNA (1256 nucleotides) under metagenome. Its description in RNAcentral is "bacterial LSU rRNA". It matches the Rfam family "Bacterial large subunit ribosomal RNA", at positions 1626 to 2874 of the family's 2925-position model. The record is from RNAcentral.